GCCAGAGUAAAGAAAAGAUGGUCUGGGUUGGAAGGGACAUGCUGUUACAGCAUCAGGACCAGGAGGAGUCUAGAAGACGUGGUGGAGGAACUAGUGGAUUUAAACACACCUUCCUGGGAGAAAGGAGAUGGGGCUGACAAGACGCAGAAAAAUGUUGCUGGGAUUGACACUCACCAAGGAGCUGUACCGUACCUGUCACCAAAGCCAUCCAAGAUGCAGAGAUAGCUGACACUCACAUGUCAUCGGCAGCCCCAGUGCAUUAGAUACCCUAUAGAGAAAUGGUGCAGUGAUCUGUGUUGCUGAUCACCUGUCGUCUUUGUAUUGACUCUACUGACGUGAAUAAGACUUGAAAUGUGAAUGUGAAUCAACUCUGAAUUAAAUCCCAAUCAAAUCUGGAUCUGGAUCCAGGGAAGUUUUAUGAGUCAUUGUUUCAGUGGAUUGUGUGGAAUUUCCUUUCCAUUGGAGACUGACAUGUAAUCUUUCACUAUUUACUGUGAGGAUACAAAUUGUGUUUGCAG
Molecule: long non-coding RNA, 518 nt
Filed under: Salmo salar (Atlantic salmon)
Lineage: Eukaryota; Metazoa; Chordata; Actinopteri; Salmoniformes; Salmonidae
Description: lncRNA (ENSSSAG00000093838.1)
Source: RNAcentral